RNAcentral lists this ribosomal RNA (418 nucleotides) under uncultured bacterium. Its description in RNAcentral is "bacterial SSU rRNA". It matches the Rfam family "Bacterial small subunit ribosomal RNA", at positions 358 to 773 of the family's 1533-position model. The record is from RNAcentral.
GGAAUACUGGUCAAUGGGCGCAAGCCUGAACCAGCCAUCCUGCGUGCAGGAAGACGGCCCUACGGGUUGUAAACUGCUUUUGUCAGGGAAGAAACCUCUGGAUUUAUCCGGAGCUGACGGUACCUGAAGAAUAAGCACCGGCUAACUCCGUGCCCGCAGCCGCGGUAAUACGGAGGGUGCAAGCGUUAUCCGGAAUUACUGGGUUUAAAGGGUGCGUAGGCGGCCCUGUAAGUCAGGAGUGAAAGUUUGCGGCUUAACCGUAAAAUUGCUUUUGAUACUGCAGGGCUAGAAUCAGGAUGAGGUCAGCGGAAUGUGGCAUGUAGCGGUGAAAUGCAUAGAUAUGCCAUAGAACACCAAUUGCGAAGGCAGCUGGCUAGACCUGUAUUGACGCUGAGGCACGAAAGCGUGGGGAGCGAAC